AGAGCACAUCUGGCCUGAGGCUCUGGGCUCCCAGAGGCCAGCAUUACAGGGCUUCCCCCCAGUGCAGCAGCUGGCACCACCCAGGAUUCCAGAGAGAACCAGACAGCAUGACCACGUUGGAGCCACAGGCUUUGCAACCGGAUCUCAGGAGCCACAUCGCAUCUUCUCUGCUCCUUCCAUCCCUAGAAUCCAGUCCUGAGUCACGCAGUCCAGCCCACAUCAGGGACAGGGGACUGCGCUGGCUAUGAGCACUGGGGGCCACCCCUAAGGUACCCACUGUGGCGGCAGCAGCGCCCUACUACGCAGAGUGGCCUUGAGAAAUGAGAAUCUGCGGCUCAGUGCCCAGCCUCCCAGCGCUCGCGGCUCAGCGAGUGUGAGAACCAGCUCCUCCUGUGUGUGCCUCCUCCUGCUGAAUCACAGCUUAAUUCCUCAAUGUCGAUGCCUCCCAUAUCCCAGGCUCUCUCUCUGGUGUUGAGGGACACUCAGAUGAAUGAGAUGUGGCCCCUGACCUGGAGAAUCCCACAAUUAAAGUGGGGCGUGGCAGGUGCUUUGAUGUGGGGGAGGCAAAGGGGAGGCGUCCCGCAGCAGGGAGCAGCAUCGCAUGUGCCCGGGGGCCCCCAGGUGGGCAUCCUCCUGUCAGAGCCCCUCCGGUGAGCCCAGACGCAAUGGGAUGAUUAACCCGUGUUCAGCACUACCGAGCCGUGAAUCUCGAUGAGCCGGUGUGUGCUGCCUGUAAGUGAGCCUUAUGUAACAGGGAUGCUGGAGCAGCUGGCGCCCGCACACAGCCCUUCUUUUAAAAUAGAUUGCUUGUCUUUAUAUAGCCCAAUGAUUCUUUCUUCUGGCUCUGCCGUCUUACAGAGGCGCUGAUGUAGGUCAAAUAUUGCUCGGUGAGAAUUAAUUAAUCUAUAAUUGUAUUGAAGGAAGGGGAGAAAAACAAGUAGAUGCUCAGUGCGCUAUACGGGUCGGGGAAUAAGCUUUGCAGAGGAAGUUUUAGGAGAGCCGCGGCCACUGCUCUCUCAGACUUGCUGGCCCUCGCCCUGCCCACCGCCCGCCCAGGGCCCCCAGAGAGUACGGGGCUUGGAGUUAGCUCUGAGCUCCAGAGGCUCCGCAGUCCCCAGCCCCAGCAGGAGCAUCACUUGGCCUGCUCUGGACCACCCGUGACAGGAGGCCUGGGCUCCCCUGUCACCGCCCGGGUCCUGCUCCUCACCGAGCUGUCCCCUCCCGUCUGCCCUGCCCCUCCUCCCUCUCACCCCUGAACCCACCUG
RNAcentral lists this long non-coding RNA (1265 nucleotides) under Homo sapiens (human). RNAcentral describes it as "HSALNT0145122". The record is from RNAcentral. Lineage: Eukaryota; Metazoa; Chordata; Mammalia; Primates; Hominidae.